Sorghum bicolor (sorghum) is the source of this 118-nucleotide microRNA precursor. It matches the Rfam family "mir-166 microRNA precursor family". Rfam says of the family: This family represents the plant microRNA (miRNA) precursor mir-166. Animal miRNAs are transcribed as ~70nt precursors and subsequently processed by the Dicer enzyme to give a ~22nt product. The record is from Rfam. Lineage: Eukaryota; Viridiplantae; Streptophyta; Magnoliopsida; Poales; Poaceae.
UCUGAGUGGAAUGUUGUCUGGUUCAAGGUCUCGCUUGUGAUUUAAGGAUGAUUUGUGCAUGCGUAAUUUUUAUUCCUUGAAUCUAUGAGAUCUCGGACCAGGCUUCAUUCCCCUCAGC